This 444-nucleotide unclassified non-coding RNA is filed under the name uncultured Tremellales. RNAcentral's name for it is "sequence contains 18S rRNA gene, ITS1, 5.8S rRNA gene, ITS2". The stretch from base 124 to 277 matches the Rfam family "5.8S ribosomal RNA". Lineage: Eukaryota; Fungi; Basidiomycota; Tremellomycetes; Tremellales. The record is from RNAcentral.
GGAAGGAUCAUUAGUGAACGCCCUCACGGGCUCUAAACUAUUCCACAACCUCUGUGAACCGUUUGCCCCUCGGGGCUUUUUACAAACAUCUGUGUAAUGAACGUUUAAACAUUAACAAAACAAAACUUUCAGCAACGGAUCUCUUGGCUCUCGCAUCGAUGAAGAACGCAGCGAAAUGCGAUAAGUAAUGUGAAUUGCAGAAUUCAGUGAAUCAUCGAAUCUUUGAACGCAUCUUGCGCUCCUUGGUAUUCCGAGGAGCAUGCCUGUUUGAGUGUCAUUAAGACUCAACCCCUCGGGUUUCCGAGAAGGUUGGAUUUGGACGUUUGCCUGUCAUGGGCUCGUCUUAAAGGUCUUAGCGGUUACACAGCACCGUAGUCGGCGUAAUAAGUUUCGUCGAUGAGGGUGUGGUGUCUGCUUACAAUCGCCUCACGGCAAUCUUUUGAC